GAUGGUAUAGCUCAGCAGUAGAGUACAUGCUUAGAAUGCACAGGUUCUGGGUUCAAUCCCCAGUACCUCUA
Molecule: transfer RNA, 71 nt
Filed under: Camelus dromedarius (Arabian camel)
Lineage: Eukaryota; Metazoa; Chordata; Mammalia; Artiodactyla; Camelidae
Also listed under: 1 other name
Rfam family: tRNA
About the family: Transfer RNA (tRNA) molecules are approximately 80 nucleotides in length. Their secondary structure includes four short double-helical elements and three loops (D, anti-codon, and T loops).
Source: Rfam by way of RNAcentral